RNAcentral lists this ribosomal RNA (253 nucleotides) under uncultured bacterium. RNAcentral's name for it is "partial 16S ribosomal RNA". It matches the Rfam family "Bacterial small subunit ribosomal RNA", at positions 524 to 776 of the family's 1533-position model. The record is from RNAcentral.
UACGUAGGGCGCAAGCGUUGUCCGGAAUUAUUGGGCGUAAAGAGCUCGUAGGCGGUCUGUCGCGUCGGCUGUGAAAACCCGAGGCUCAACCUCGGGCCUGCAGUCGAUACGGGCAGACUAGAGUGCUGUAGGGGAGACUGGAAUUCCUGGUGUAGCGGUGAAAUGCGCAGAUAUCAAGAGGAACACCGGUGGCGAAGGCGGGUCUCUGGGCAGUAACUGACGCUGAGGAGCGAAAGCGUGGGGAGCAAACAGG